This is a non-coding RNA of Acanthosepion pharaonis, 113 nucleotides long. Lineage: Eukaryota; Metazoa; Mollusca; Cephalopoda; Sepiida; Sepiidae. The record is from the annotation of a GenBank genome assembly.
UACAGCCAUAUCACUUUGAAACCCCGAUUCCCGUACGAUCACCGAGGUUAAGCAACGUCGAACCUGGUCAGUACCUAGAUGGGUGACCGUUUGGGAAUAUCAGUUGUUGUAAG